GCGGUGAGCGGACUGUCCAUCUACCUUCCUAACUUGAACUGCAGCCCAUCUUCAACCGUUCAUUUAAGACCCUAGUGUAUAAACUAGGAGAAGGCGGGAAACACAGGAUAGGGAGAGAAAGAGAGGGAGAGAAAGAGAAAGAGGAAGGAGAGGGAGAGAGAGAUGCUGGCAGGCAGGGCGAGCCUCGUUACGCUCAUCGGAAAGCGGAGGAGGAUCUCCGCCACCGAUCAAAAGGAUUCAUUAAACUCCAGAAAAGGGGACAUUGUGAGUCCAUCGGACAGUUUGAGUCCAUCUGCACCACAGGGGAAAGAGCAAUCCUUGGAUCUUGCAAUGUAUCUAUCAAAAAGCCACAAUGCUUCUGAUAAUGGUGCUUCUCAAUAUCUUUUGGAUUGGGUUUCAUGUCCUGUUUGUGGGAGAAACAUAUGUGGAACAGAUUUUUUGGUUAAUUCUCAUCUAGAAACUCGCAUGGUAAUAUUGUUUGCAGAUCUAUGUCUAGCCAAUGGAACCAAACGGAAAAUGACCCAGCGAACAUUGCUUCAGUUCAAUUUUUAUUCGAGUUCAAAAUCAAAUAUACAUGUGGAUGACACUAGUUCUUCCAAAAAUCUCGUUGUACCAUUGGCAUUGGAUGAAAAAGUCCAGUCAAGUAACUUCACUAAGUGUGCCAAGGACCUUGACGACCAAGAUGGAAGAUCUGGAAUGGAAUCCAAUGCAAGCUUUUUGUUGUCCAAUUCAAAAACUUGUCUUGAAUAUUCAGUUCAGAGCCUUAUAGAGACGCAAUCUGUUCACUGUAAUGAGACAGGCUCUUUGAGUCCCUUGUCAUCCCUCCCCUGCCCUGAACAACAAUUUCCCCUUCUGGAGGGCACUGAUGUUGGGACUUCCAUGGCUACACUUGAUACUUACAUUGUUGGACGAAGGUUUUGUGAUGAUGUUGACUUGAAGGAAGGAACCUGUGUAUCUUUUGUGAGGGACCCUGAAAAUGUUAAGGAUCAUAAUGCCAUCAAGGUGCUUUGUAGCAAAUCUGGAAGCGACCAUGUGCUUGGGUUUCUCCCCAGAGACUUGGCUCUAUAUCUAUCUCCUCUCAUGAAAAACCAUCAUGUGAUGAUUGAGGGAUUGGUUACAUCUCUUCCUGAUCAUUCACUUGGCGCUGUUCCUGUAAGAAUCUUUUGUCAAAAGAUUCUAGUCGCUACAGAAAGAGAGUCUGAUGAGCAUCAAAUGUUCCAAUGCUUGUGGGAGAAUGUUGCUCGUGUUGUUGAAUCAUCAAAAGACUUCCCCCCAAACACUAAAAAGUAUCAGCAAAACUUCUGCAUUUUGAUUAAGGAAGUUUUGAAGCAUCACUCUUACCUUUUCACUGAUGAUGAGAAGCUGUUUCUAGGAUCCUUCGAGUCACUUUCUGAUGAUAGUCAGAGGCUUUUCAUUAGACUUUAUAGACGAAAAGGGCCAUGGUUUCGGAUAUCAAAUGUCUACUACCCAGAGAUUUCAGAUCAUCAACUAGCGCUUAAAGGACUGCUUGCGGCUGGUUAUAUGAAUCGUUUGGAGUAUUCAAAUGAACCUUUAGAGAACAUUGUAAAGGAGAUGUUGGACAUGCUUACUGUUUCAGAGUGCAGAGAACUAUCCAGUCAGGCAUGUUUGAAGAGAAAUGUCCGGGUGGUUAGGCGUGAAGAACUUGUCAAAGGGCUUCUUUCUGCCUAUGCUGAUGGAACGUGCUCGCUGCUUCCUACCAUGGUUGCCGAACGGAUUGGAGCCUGCGUUCGAAUUUCUGCCUUGGCUGAGUUCCUCCUUUGGCGUGUCCAGAGGCUAUUCUUCCUAAAUGGAAAGCAAGAUUUGUCUGCCUUUCUCUUAGUAGAUCUUGGACUAGUGAGAUAUCCCACAUAUACCUGCAGUAUAUCCAGCAAUCUUUUCACAAGUCGAAGUGAUUUAUUAGCAUAUGAAGAGGCUAUGGACUUAGCACAAAUAAUGGACCAAUCCCUUGAUGAGAACAACGUGGAAAUUGUGAUGAGGUGCAUAGAGGUAUCAGAGGGCCGCAUUUCCAAUCUCCCCAAAGAAAGGAUUUCUCAAUCUUUUACUCAGAAAUCUGGUGGGAUGUUCUUGUCACAAUUUACGGCUUCAUGGGUCUACUCAAAAGUUCUCACCUUAGGUGUCUCUGUUUUUGAGCGUGACCGCAGGUAUACAAAUGCAAUAAUGCUUCUUAGGAAGCUGCUAAAUUUGAUCGCACAGGAUGGAAGGCGAGGGUAUUGGACCCUUAGAUUGUCUAUUGAUUUGGAGCACCUAGGUCAUCUGAACGAGAGUCUCUUGGUUGCAGAGGGAGGCCUAACUGAUCCAUGGGUUCGUGCUGGGUCUAGAAUGGCCCUUCAAAGACGAGUUUUACGCCUGGGAAAACCACCAAGGCGGUGGAAAACUCCUAGUUUUGCAAAGUCUAUCAAAAGGAAGAUCAAAGAGGUUUACAUAAUGGGGAGGCCUUUGAACUGUGAAAUAGGGUCGAAAAAUAGGUUUUAUGGUGAUGAUGAUGAGCAGUGUGGAGUAGAGGAGUUAGCUUUGCAAUAUUAUAAAGCAGAAGGUUGGGAAGGUGCGCACUCGGAGAGUGGUGUUUGGAUGACAAUAUUUGGGCUUCUAAUGUGGGAUGUCAUCUUUGCUGAUAUUCCUGAUGUCUUUCGGACCAGGUUUCAGACAGCCCCAUUAGACCUUUGCACCGAUAGUUUUUAUCCUGCAAGAAUGGCGCUUAUAGAAAGCCAUCUAAGAAAGGUAAAACAUGGCAUGGCGAAGGACAUCCUUACAACUACAUGGGAAUCUAAUGUUGGCACCUCGUGCCAAGGUGUGAAUUGGGAGAGACAUACCGUAACAGAUCUCCAGGAUAUUGUAACAUGUGUUGGAGGUCCAUGCUUGGCCUCUAUUUGUCGGCUGUUGGCUCAAGAUUACAAGAGUUGGUCAAGUGGAAUGCCUGAUCUCUUGCUUUGGCGUCUUUCUAGUGAUGGAAAGAGUGAUGAUGCAAAGCUUGUCGAAGUCAAAGGACCAAAAGAUCGCCUCUCUGAGCAGCAGCAAGCAUGGCUGCUCAUGCUUAUGGAUUGUGGUUUUGACUCAGAGGUCUGCAAAGUCAGGCCAACACCCUUCCAGGAUUAAACAUUGAGAUAGUCUAGUUAGAUGGGUUCAGGUCUUCUGUUGUAUUGGUAAGGCUGGGUUGGGGAAGGCCAUUUUAUGAUAUAAAAGUGCAAUGUGUGGAAGGUUGCUAUGGCGGUCAACAGGGAGGUGAAAGUGUUUGCCAACACCAAAUAUAAUGGAGCAGCUCUGUAAAAUCUGGUUCUAUUUCACCUAAGUACUAUGGAGAUGGAAAGAGGCCAAAAUCCCAUUAUUAUCUUACGGAUGUACUUCUCAUAAUGGAGUGCAGUGCUUGACAGCUGCUGGCAAACAAUGCGUUAACUUAAUAGUAGUUACUAAAAGCAGAGGAUGCAGCCGGUGCAACUUAAUGUUUCACUUCUUCCUGGUUACUGUCGAGGAAUUCGGGCCCUGGCUAGAUGGUUACAGAGUCCAUAAGUACAACAAGACGUCCCUGUUUCAUUUUCCUAUGCUGAUUAUCCAAAGAGAAUCUGUCUCUCUCUUGGUUUUCUGUUUAAUAAGGAAUAGAUAUAACGCAAAUGCUAAAAUAGCGACCAAGGGCCUGUGCUUUCAUAAUUGAAGUGGAAAAGUGUUUUUUUAGGGGUUUGACUGGUCAAAAUCCUCGAAGAGUUGGUAGACAUACACCGGAGAAAAUAAUAUUUUGAGAUGAGUUUUUCCACAAGGCCUAAUUGAUUUGGGAUCUAGUCAGGUCAGAGUUGGUUAUCUAGUCUGCUUCUGAUGCCAUUGCUAAUGAUAGCCGCUAGAACCGAAAGUUAACGUUUCAAAUGUUUGUCUUUCAUAAUGAGAGGCCUAGAAGAUUCUGAACAGUGCCUAAUUGCACUAUUCAUGCAAGGUGUGGGAUUUGAUUUUGAUUUUGAUUUGAGAUUGUACACGUUGACAUUGUUCCAUUAUGCACAAAAGUUACAAACACUUCAAAUAAAUUGGAUGGCGAGCUGUGAUAUUGCAUGAUGUAGAAGAAAAUUUCUCUGACUUGAGCAUGGUUACUGGUACAUCUCCAAUAAUCUGAUUUCACUUC
RNA transcript from Amborella trichopoda, 4123 nucleotides. It is a transcript of the gene named zinc ion binding/nucleic acid binding/hydrolase, with no coding region annotated. Lineage: Eukaryota; Viridiplantae; Streptophyta; Magnoliopsida; Amborellales; Amborellaceae. The record is from RefSeq and is a predicted model, not a curated record.